UUGAACGCUGGCGGAAUGCUUUACACAUGCAAGUCGAGCGGCAGCGCGGGGGCAACCCUGGCGGCGAGCGGCGGACGGGUGAGUAAUGCAUCGGAACAUGUCCAAUCGUGGGGGAUAGCCCGGCGAAAGCCGGAUUAAUACCGCAUACGCCCGAGAGGGGAAAGCGGGGGACCGCAAGGCCUCGCGCGAUUGGGUUGGCCGAUGUCCGAUUAGCUUGUUGGUGAGGUAAAGGCUUACCAAGGCGAUGAUCGGUAGCUGGUCUGAGAGGAUGAUCAGCUACACUGGGACUGAGACACGGCCCAGACUCCUACGGGAGGCAGCAGUGGGGAAUUUUGGACAAUGGGGGAAACCCUGAUCCAGCCAUUCCGCGUGAGUGAAGAAGGCCUUCGGGUUGUAAAGCUCUUUUGUCCGGAGCGAAACGGUGGCGGUGAAUAUCCGCCACUACUGACGGUACCGGAAGAAUAAGCACCGGCUAACUACGU
Molecule: ribosomal RNA, 482 nt
Filed under: uncultured bacterium
Lineage: Bacteria
Description: bacterial SSU rRNA
Rfam family: Bacterial small subunit ribosomal RNA
Source: RNAcentral